AUGACGGGCAUGUUCAGGCUGGGAGUGGAUUGCACUGUCAAGGAUCGGCAGAAAAGGCCGUCCAAGAAGAUGGCUCUCAAACGUCUCAACCGCUACGGUGGGCGUGCCCUAUUCCAUGGCCUCCCCACCUGCUAUCCACUGUACAUCACCAGUGAGGAUGUAGGCAAAUCGAAUGAGAAAGUGGCAUGUGAGCUCAGCUCAGCUGAUGAACUGCCAUUGGCAGAGUUUAUGUUCAGUGGUACGUUGAAGGAUGAUCCAGGAGAUCAGAUGGGGGACUCUGCUUUCUUGCUUUGUUUGGCAAGAAAAGUUUGA
This 312-nucleotide ribosomal RNA is filed under the name Triticum aestivum (bread wheat). RNAcentral's name for it is "partial small subunit ribosomal RNA". The record is from RNAcentral. Lineage: Eukaryota; Viridiplantae; Streptophyta; Magnoliopsida; Poales; Poaceae.